This is a long non-coding RNA of Gasterosteus aculeatus aculeatus (three-spined stickleback), 4783 nucleotides long. NCBI's taxonomy places the organism in Eukaryota, Metazoa, Chordata, Actinopteri, Perciformes, Gasterosteidae. The record is from Ensembl.
GUUGUAUUUUGUAGUUUUCUGCCACUCGUGUCACCGGGUAACUUCACUUCCUGCCUUGUCCCGUCAUCCCCUGUGAUCGUCUAAUAGUUUCCACCUGUGUCCAAUCACCUGCACCUCCCUUGUGUAUUUAAGCCAUGUGUCUCCUGUGUCACUUGUCGCGUCAUUGUCUUUUGCCACGCAUGUCCUUGUCCUGUCUUUGUCUUGGAUGCCCAUAGUUUCAUGCCUGAGUGUUUUUGCCCCUUGGAUUUUGGACCUUUUGACUAUUAAAUCUUUUUGUAUUGGAAAAGUCUGCGUUUGAGUCCUGCCUCCCACCCGCAACCCUGACAGGCGGCAGGUUUUCCAACAAGGGAAAUGGCAGAACACUAAACCAGAGCAUUAAGGAUCAAUGAACAAACUGGGGGUGUCUUCAGUGAGUGGGACAAAUCACAGGCCAUGUAGUGUGCUAUGAAGUUAGCUGUUGGUUAAACCCAGCAUGCUGAGAGCGAGAGGCAGCGAGGAGCUCGCUAACAGAGCCAAUCUUGAUCGUCCCAUCGACUUGCAAUCAGAUUUUGACGUAAACAGCGAUGGUGAAUAUAUACAAAAUGAGCUCGAGAGAAUGCUUAGCAAAGGUUUCCUGAUGGAGGCCCACGGGAAGGUGGACUUGAGUGGCGGCUUGGCAGCCAGUGGUGGAGGGAUCCAUCAUGUCAUGACAGGGAGGAGAGGGCUCUGACAUCUUGGCCUGCCCUGAGAGGCCAGCGCCUGUCAGCUUAAUGAGGCUCCCACUGACAGGUGAUGCGGUUGUUAGAUUGGGGUCGUGUGUGUGUGUGUGUGUGUGUACGCACGGGGGGGUGGAUUUUCGCAGAAGUUGAACAAGCGCCUCCUUAGCGUGUCUGUUAAUGUAUCUAGCAUGUCGUGUUACUUUCACAUGCGCUUCUCAGGAAAAUCAAAGAUGUUAUAGGCUGAAUCCUAUAAUGUACAAUGGUCCCUCGAGUCGCUCCAACCUGACCGCGUUAACCUGUGUGAGUGCACGUGAAAACUUUGUGUAUUGAUAACUCUGUAAUCUCUCCUUCCCUCACUUCCUUUUACCCUUCAGUGCGCCUCCUUCCCUCUCGGACUCGCUCACCCCCCCCCCCCUCAAGCCACCCACUCAUCUUCCUUUCCCCAUGUGCGGGUAUUAGGUUCACACUGUGGAAUAUAGAUGAAUCCAGCACGGACACUUCUAUUGAUUUCUCCCACACCACGGACACCGGGGAUAAUGAAAGAGUUUUUCCUGUCUUCCCCCCAAGUAGCCAUGCGUCAUAUUUCUUCAGGAGGUCUGAGUGGAAGACCAAUUGAAGGAACUGAGCUCGAUGCUACUGAUGCGGUAGACGGUUCAUGUCUGUUACGUUCCCUGGUAUCGGUUUGAGGUUCUACUGUAAACAACGUUAGGGAAACAGAGGAUGUAAACACUGUUGUUGUUUCCUAUUGAUUGGCAAUUAGCUAAACCCCGUCCUCCUCAGUUAAAGGCGCUUUGCAUCGGUAUUUCCAUUUCCAUUACAUGCGCUUUGCGCCGCGAAUGGAGACAAUUUGCCACCUGAAAUUCUUCUGUGGAAAUGGGUUCUUGAUUUCAAACGGCGGUAGACAAAAGCACGCUCAUCAUUCCUAGCUGGAAACUCGACGACGGUUGAAAGCAGAUUUUAUGCGCUUCAGCCUGCUAGCUGGAUAGUUAUGGACUCCGUUGGAUGGAAAGCCUGUUUUUUAUUGUCUCCUGUAACGUUGGCUUACUUUUCCGACUGCCAAUUUUGGGUGAUGAAAGCUAUACGAUGUCAGGAAUGGGAUAUUAUCUGAACGUAAGUUAUUGUUUGUCAUUUUAUCAUCCCACAAAAUACACCCAGAAGACUUCCUGAAAGGCUUUGAGACACAAUUUUUUCAUUGUCAUUACAUUCGGUGUAAAUACAGUUUACAGUGAGAGUCGUUAAGCAGCCAACUGGGAGGUUUAUGUCACUUUCAUGCUGAUUGGAUGGGGAUUCAAGCCGUACAUUGUAGACUGAUGGACUGCCUGAAGCAAUGGUGGCCGUUUCAGAGCAGCGAGGAAGCUGAUUUCUCUUUUUUUAAUCUGGUUACACUGGGCCGGGCGUGUCCUCGUUUGGUUGCUCGUCGCUCUAAUGGCAGAAACACUCUGGAGGACUUAAUUACCACCCAAGCAGCACUCAGAUGCACGCUUGGAAUGCUAAAGACACUUGCCUUUUUAAUUGCUGCCAAUUCUUCCCAAAAAGAAGCCUCUCUUUUGUAUCCCAUGAAAGGAGUUCAGAGAAGGCCGCAGUAGAAAAGGCGAAAAUAAACAAGGUUACAAUACAGCUGAGAUCUGUGGGCACGUUAUUUCAUGGAUUUUGUCAGUGUCUUAGAUGUUGGUAUUGAUUGAGAGACAUCCCUUGGAAUCUUCCCUGUACAGUGUCAAACAGCGAGUGUGCUUAAAUAGGUUGUGUCUUUAUUGAUUUCUUCAUGAAGCUCUGCUCAGAUGGAAUAUUGAGCGGUUCAGCCUGCGCCGGCCCGGCCUGCUCUCUCACGUGUCUUUCUGCUCUGUGCACCCAGAAGGGCGCCUGGUCUCCACGGUGCUGGAAGGAGAGACUCCUGUCGUGGGAGCGUGACGAGCAGGUGCCCGGGUGCGUGCAGGUGUUUGGUGUCGGUCUCUCGGGUUUCUCUGCCGUGGCUCGCAGCAAACGAUCGUCCCUCACGGGAGAUCUCAGGUUAUCAGCGAUGAGAUUGUAUGGGGACAUGCACGCAGAUGAUUGAUGGGUUCCGGUGCCACGAAGGUAAAAGGACGCAACGUUAUGGAAAAGCGGCUCUCAAGGAGAGCGGUUUCCUGCUUAUUUUAACCUGACCACAAUUACAUUUCAAGGGUGCACGUCUUGCAUAUUUAAAAAUAGCAUAAACUGUCCAUGUAACCUCAGCGAAGAACUCCUCAAGGGCUUGAAAUCAUGAAAUGAUUUAUCAGAGUAGACACAUCAAUUUCUCUGCACUCACAAAUUCUGCUGCAUAUGCUUUCGGUUAUGAGAUUAUUUUCCAAUGAACGGUGUCACAGAUGUACAUUUUGACAACUUCAUUUUUUUUCAUACAAAAGAUGCUGUCACUUUUAAUCAAACCAGGACAUUUAUCAGUUUGGAACCUUUGAAUGAAAAUCCAGGAUUAUCUAUCAGUGCGGAGUACAUAAUUACCAUUAAUAUUCAGUGGAGGAACAUUCAGUCCCCCCUUAAUAUAUAUAGUAUAACACUAUUCAGACUGCCACUAACGAAAAUAUUCUGUUUAAUUAUAUGACGGCUGCACAGAGCCAAAGACAGAUUACGGAUGCAUAUGUGACAAGCUUAUUAAGAGAAGUUUAUAUCCAGUGUUAACCACACUAUAUGGAGAUCUUUUUUCAUACCGAUGAAAUGUAAACAAACAUUCGGGCCUCUCUACCUCCCGCUUCCCUUAUCCCUCUUUCGACCUCUUUUUAUCAGUGUUUUGCUGCUUUUUCCACUCGGACGUCCCGGUUUUUAUAAAAGAAGUUUAGAAGACUGGGAUAUGGUGGUCAGGGUUUAAUUCCGCCGUGGGUUUCGGUCAGCUAACUGUCUUCAUUUGAAACCAGGUUGGGUCGCCUUUCACUGUCAAAGAUUUUUCAAAUCCCCUCCAUAAUGUCAAGACCGCCGUUCCACGCAUGUGGGAUUUAGCUGGAAGGCUUCACUGGCAUUUCCUCAAAAGGUCACCUGAGCCAUUUACUCUUAUGUUAUUUGACUUUUCGAAUAUGCUUCCUUGUCGAUACGCUGGAUAGUAUUGGCACCUCUAGGUGGACCGAGUCCUUGAGCGUUAUAGUUAUUGAGUGCAGAGUGACGGGUUCAGAUGUUGUGCAACAUGUUAAAGCAGCUAAGUUUGAACGGCAUACGCUGACCAAAAUAAUAAUAAUAAAUAAUAUUCUCUUCAGAUGGACAAUGAUUUGAAAUCAAAGCUGUCAGACACAGACACAGAUCACCGUCAGUGAUAAAUGCCAUGUGAGCUGUUGUCACCAUUUCUCCCAAAUCACCUUCUACUUUGAAGUUGUUUUCCAGCAUCCAAAAGCGUUAUUGCCUGUUAAGGAUUUAAGCAAGAAGUGCACCCCUAGUGGUGGAAAUUAUAAUACGUGUAAUAAUGUUUAGUGUUAGAAUUGUAGUUAUUUGGGAGUGUUAUUAGAUAUUAGUUAUUACAUUAGCAUGUUAGAUGAAGUGAAUGCAAUAUGAAUCGAACACAAUUUAUAGUCAUGUAAAUCAUAUAAACAAUAUACACAUCAUCAUUCUGUCACAAUGUGAUGUUAAAACCUAGGGACGGAUGUUAAUUGCCGUCCUUUAUGGAUUUCUCCCAAUUUUAUCCCCAAAGAGGGUUUUUUGGGAGUUUUUUCUCCUGUCAGGUACCAGAUGAGCAACUGAAUACAAGACAGCCGAUUGAGGCAAAUGUCUUGAGAAUUGGACCACAUGAACUGUUUUAGAUCUUAUGAUGUAUUGUGAUGAACGGUGAUCAUUUAUGAUGUGUUGUAAUUAAGGUGUACUAGUUAAGAUGAGGACAAACUAUGCAUGCUUUGUUAUAUUCACUCAUUGAGGCAUAAAGCCAAAUGUAUCUACGUUGAAUGUCUUGGAAUGUGAGGGACAGAAAAGACAGCGAGGUCUCAGACCCCAUGCAGACGGACUCGAGUUUGCCUGAACCCGGGUUUAUUUUUCACACCUACCCACUUUUUAAAUCCCGUGCACAUGAACCCAGUGAAUCCGAUUGAUUGCUUCCACGGAAGCAUGCGUACAAGACAUGCGCGCCGUAUACAAAC